Molecule: ribosomal RNA, 254 nt
Filed under: uncultured bacterium
Lineage: Bacteria
Description: partial 16S ribosomal RNA
Rfam family: Bacterial small subunit ribosomal RNA
Source: RNAcentral
UACGUAGGGUGCGAGCGUUGUCCGGAAUUAUUGGGCGUAAAGAGCUCGUGGGCGGUGUGUCACGUCGGCCGUGAAAACUUGCAGCUUAACUGUGGGCGUGCGGUCGAUACGGGCAUCACUGGAGUUCGGCAGGGGAGACUGGAAUUCCUGGUGUAGCGGUGAAAUGCGCAGAUAUCAGGAGGAACACCGGUGGCGAAGGCGGGUCUCUGGGCCGAUACUGACGCUGAGGAGCGAAAGCGUGGGGAGCAAACGGG